This 262-nucleotide unclassified non-coding RNA is filed under the name Hevea brasiliensis (rubber tree). The record is from RNAcentral. Lineage: Eukaryota; Viridiplantae; Streptophyta; Magnoliopsida; Malpighiales; Euphorbiaceae.
GUUUAUAUUAUAAUUAGAAUUAAAUAUAUAAAAAAUAAAUAAUACUUUUUAACUGCCAUUCAAACAGCAAUAACAAACAAUUUAGUGAUGUUAUUGCUGACUAACUUGAAAUUAAAAGAAAUUGAACCAAUAAAAGAUGAAUAUGUUGUACAAUUUCUUACAAUACGUGGAAUUAGGUUGAACUAAGAGUCUUGAUAGAUAUACAUGAUUGACUAUUUCUUAAAGAUUAAAACUUUGAAAUGAUCAAUUUACUUCAUAUAUA